RNAcentral lists this ribosomal RNA (281 nucleotides) under uncultured bacterium. RNAcentral's name for it is "partial 16S ribosomal RNA". It matches the Rfam family "Bacterial small subunit ribosomal RNA", at positions 79 to 354 of the family's 1533-position model. The record is from RNAcentral.
CUUGCUUUCUCCGCCGGCGACCGGCGCACGGGUGAGUAACACGUAUGCAACCUGCCCCUGUCAGGGGGACAACCCGCCGAAAGGCGGGCUAAACCCGCGUACAUGCCACCGGGGCAUCCCGGAGGCAGGAAAGGCUUCGGCCGGACAGGGAUGGGCAUGCGGCGCAUUAGGCAGUAGGCGGGGUAACGGCCCACCUAACCGACGAUGCGGUAGGGGUUCUGAGAGGAAGGUCCCCCACACUGGUACUGAGACACGGACCAGACUCCUACGGGAGGCAGCAG